This 471-nucleotide ribosomal RNA is filed under the name uncultured bacterium. RNAcentral's name for it is "bacterial SSU rRNA". It matches the Rfam family "Bacterial small subunit ribosomal RNA", at positions 40 to 507 of the family's 1533-position model. The record is from RNAcentral.
CGGCAUGCCUUACACAUGCAAGUCGAACGGCAGCACGGGAGCAAUCCUGGUGGCGAGUGGCGAACGGGUGAGUAAUAUAUCGGAACGUGCCCAGUCGUGGGGGAUAACGUAGCGAAAGCUACGCUAAUACCGCAUACGAUCUAUGGAUGAAAGCGGGGGAUCGCAAGACCUCGCGCGAUUGGAGCGGCCGAUAUCAGAUUAGGUAGUUGGUGAGGUAAAGGCUCACCAAGCCAACGAUCUGUAGCUGGUCUGAGAGGACGACCAGCCACACUGGAACUGAGACACGGUCCAGACUCCUACGGGAGGCAGCAGUGGGAAUUUUGGACAAUGGACGCAAGUCUGAUCCAGCCAUUCCGCGUGCAGGAUGAAGGCCCUCGGGUUGUAAACUGCUUUUGUACGGAACGAAACGGUGAGCUCUAAUACAGUUUGCUAAUGACGGUACCGUAAGAAUAAGCACCGGCUAACUACGUG